UACGUAGGGGGCGAGCGUUGUCCGGAAUCAUUGGGCGUAAAGCGCAUGUAGGCGGCUCAGUGAGUCGGAUGUGAAAUCCCGAGGCUCAACUUCGGAACUGCAUCCGAUACUGCUGAGCUUGAGGAAGGUAGAGGAGAGUGGAAUUCCCGGUGUAGCGGUGGAAUGCGCAGAUAUCGGGAGGAACACCAGCGGCGAAGGCGGCUCUCUGGGCCUCUCCUGACGCUGAGAUGCGAAAGCAUGGGGAGCAAACAGG
This 253-nucleotide unclassified non-coding RNA is filed under the name uncultured Nitriliruptoraceae bacterium. RNAcentral describes it as "contains 16S-23S intergenic spacer region". It matches the Rfam family "Bacterial small subunit ribosomal RNA", at positions 524 to 776 of the family's 1533-position model. The record is from RNAcentral. Lineage: Bacteria; Bacillati; Actinomycetota; Nitriliruptoria; Nitriliruptorales; Nitriliruptoraceae.